GUUGUUUGGAGCAUACUCUCUGGAGCAUUUUUUAAUAUAUUGCUUGAAAUACUCUUCGCACCCCCAUUGCAACCAAUUAAUUAAAAGUUUUGACACAAAAAUGAAAAAAAUUAGUGGUGUCUAGAACGAGAAAUCUAGGAAAAACACUAUCCAAUCAUACUGAGCGGACCGUUGACAACGAUUGGAUUCUGAUUACGUCUAUCAAACUGCACUCUGCUCCUCCCUCCCCCUCCCUCUCCCUCUGCGCGUACCCUUCUUCGUGAACGUGCUGAUUGCGUGUGCUCGCCCUGAAGCUUGCCAGGAAGCUAGAGCCAGCUUGGUUAGCACGUAGCAUUCCUAAACGUAUAGUUAGCAUACAAGAUACGGCAACGACGAUUUGAACAUUAUGGCAGAAAAGGUGCCAACAACGGGCCGAAAAAGAAAGACUGUGUUUUGAGAAGGCUUCUGCCAAAAAAAGGGCAGACGAAGACAGCCAAGACCCGAGUGGCCAUCGGUGCUGCUGCAUUUGUUCGAUGGCGUCAGCUAAAGGAACAGCAAGAGCUGCAAACGGAUGCCAUGGUGGCCCUAUUUCUACUGGAUAGGUAAGAUUACAUUAUGUCUUUAUAAUGUUUGAGAGCACUUGUUAAUGCUUUAGGACAGUAUGUUGUCGUUUCUAACAAGUAUUCAGCCAGUGAGAGGAUAAAACGAUGUAGACGAGCUGCAAUGCCCCUGCAUGUUUGGCUAAGUUAGCUAACACCGAAGUAUGUCAACGUUACUGCUUUCAAUCGCUAAUCAAAGUUAUUUGUAUAUCCGUGAAGAUUUUUCCCCAUGGCAUUUAUUUCAUGCUUCUAAACUAUUUACUAACUUGAUGACUCUUAUUUAUUGUUUUGUUAGUUACGUGAAGGGCACAACAUCUACACCCGUGAAACAAGGUUUCAAGAGACCCCCUCCUCCCCCGUAUCCACAAUUCUGACAGCUCUGACACCUAAAGGACCGUUCAAAGACAGUGGCAUACACCAUUCUUUAGACAUCUAGCAUGGAUCAAAGAACUUGAGCAAAAGACUUGUAGCGGCAGGGCAGCAAAAGGGAUGCUGUGACUUACUGACAUGGAGCAAAGAUGUCUGCAACCAUUUCUGGCAUUGUUGCAAAGCUGCAAGCUGUUAUGAAGAGUUCAUGGACCUGUGGAUGGGACUCCUGCACCACGUCACAGGAGAACAUGAGUGGGCCCUUGGUGCCUGCCACCACGGCCCUUUGGAGGACAGCAGAGAGAAAGACUGGAUACAACAGGGCAGUUUGGCACACCAGAGAUUGUGGGAAAUUGUUCUUGAGGCAAGCUGGCUGAAGAACAUCGUCAAGUAUCUGCGUUUCAGCACAGGCCUCUCCACCCACAGACUAGGCCCCACAGUGUUGCAGCAUGUGCCUGAC
Long non-coding RNA from Sardina pilchardus (European sardine), 1404 nucleotides. RefSeq lists it as uncharacterized. NCBI's taxonomy places the organism in Eukaryota, Metazoa, Chordata, Actinopteri, Clupeiformes, Clupeidae. The transcript has 5 exons. The record is from RefSeq and is a predicted model, not a curated record.